Molecule: ribosomal RNA, 737 nt
Filed under: uncultured bacterium
Lineage: Bacteria
Description: bacterial SSU rRNA
Rfam family: Bacterial small subunit ribosomal RNA
Source: RNAcentral
GAGUUUGAUCCUGCCUCAGAGCGUACGCUGGCGGCAGGCUUAACACAUGCAAGUCGAACGGGCUUCUUCGGAAGUCAGUGGCAGACGGGUGAGUAACACGUGGGAACGUGCCCUGCGGUUCGGAAUAACUCAGGGAAACUUGAGCUAAUACCGGAUACGCCCUUAUGGGGAAAGGUUUACUGCCGAAGGAUCGGCCCGCGUCUGAUUAGCUUGUUGGUGGGGUAACGGCCUACCAAGGCGACGAUCAGUAGCUGGUCUGAGAGGAUGAUCAGCCACACUGGGACUGAGACACGGCCCAGACUCCUACGGGAGGCAGCAGUGGGGAAUAUUGGACAAUGGGCGCAAGCCUGAUCCACCCAUGCCGCGUGAGUGAUGAAGGCCUUAUGGUUGUACAGCUCUUUUGUCCGGGACGAUAAUGACGGUACCGGAAGAAUAAGCCCCGGCUAACUUCGUGCCAGCAGCCGCGGUAAUACGAAGGGGGCUAGCGUUGCUCGGAAUCACUGGGCGUAAAGGGCGCGUAGGCGGCCGAUUAAGUCGGGGGUGAAAGUCUGUGGCUCAACCACAGAAUUGCCUUCGAUACUGGUUGGCUUGAGACCGGAAGAGGACAGCGGAACUGCGAGUGUAGAGGUGAAAUUCGUAGAUAUUCGCAAGAACACCAGUGGCGAAGGCGGUUGUCUGGUCCGGUUCUGACGCUGAGGCGCGAAAGCGUGGGGAGCAAACAGGAUUAUAUCCCCUGG